ACUUUAUGCAUGUAAACAGUGUGAUAAAGCCUUCAAAUGUCAGAGUUUCCUGCGAAUACACGAAAGAGGCCACACUGGAGAGAAUUACUAUGAUUGUAAACAGUGUGGUAAAGCUUUCAGAAGUCACUCUUCUCUUCAGAGACAUAAAAUAGCUCAUCCGAGGGAAAAACCUUAUGCUUGUAAACAAUGUGGUAAGUCCUUCACUUAUCCAUAUUUACUUCAGACACACGAUAGAUUUCACACUGGAGAGAAACCAUAUAAAUGUAGGCUAUGUAGUAAAGCCUUUCUUUGUUCCCCCUUUCUUCAAAGACACAAAAGAACUCAUGCUUGGGAAAGACCCUAUAAAUGUAAACAGUGUGGUAAUGCCUUUGGAAGCCAUAGCUCCCUUCGCUUGCAUGCAAGGGCUCAUCCUGUGGAAGAGUCUUACACGUGUAAGAUAUGCAAUAAAGCCUUUCUAUGUCCUCCUUUCCUUCAAAGACACGAGAAAAUGCACACAGAGGAAAAGCCCUUUGAAUGUAAGCAAUGUAGUAAAA
This 533-nucleotide long non-coding RNA is filed under the name Rattus norvegicus (Norway rat). Its description in RNAcentral is "long non-coding RNA NONRATT000625". The record is from RNAcentral. Lineage: Eukaryota; Metazoa; Chordata; Mammalia; Rodentia; Muridae.